UACGUAGGGAGCGAGCGUUGUCCGGAUUUACUGGGCGUAAAGGGCGCGUAGGCGGUCUGUUAAGCGUGAAGUGAAAUCUCCAGGGCUCAACCCGGAAACUGCUUUGCGAACUGGCAGACUAGAGGAAGGUAGAGGUAAGUGGAAUUCCCGGUGUAGCGGUGACAUGCAUUGAUACCGGGAGGAACACCCAUGGCGAAGGCAGCUUACUGGACCUUAUCUGACGCUGAGGCGCGAAAGCGUGGGGAGCAAACAGG
Molecule: ribosomal RNA, 254 nt
Filed under: uncultured prokaryote
Description: partial 16S ribosomal RNA
Rfam family: Bacterial small subunit ribosomal RNA
Source: RNAcentral